This 74-nucleotide transfer RNA is filed under the name Escherichia coli. RNAcentral describes it as "tRNA-Ile". It matches the Rfam family "tRNA". Rfam says of the family: Transfer RNA (tRNA) molecules are approximately 80 nucleotides in length. Their secondary structure includes four short double-helical elements and three loops (D, anti-codon, and T loops). The record is from RNAcentral. Lineage: Bacteria; Pseudomonadati; Pseudomonadota; Gammaproteobacteria; Enterobacterales; Enterobacteriaceae.
AGGCUUGUAGCUCAGGUGGUUAGAGCGCACCCCUGAUAAGGGUGAGGGCGGUGGUUCAAGUCCACUCAGGCCUA